RNAcentral lists this non-coding RNA (21 nucleotides) under Caenorhabditis elegans. Lineage: Eukaryota; Metazoa; Nematoda; Chromadorea; Rhabditida; Rhabditidae. The record is from RNAcentral.
UGCGCAUUGGUCUGCGUUAAA